This 255-nucleotide ribosomal RNA is filed under the name uncultured bacterium. Its description in RNAcentral is "partial 16S ribosomal RNA". It matches the Rfam family "Bacterial small subunit ribosomal RNA", at positions 524 to 776 of the family's 1533-position model. The record is from RNAcentral.
GACGUAGGGCGCGAGCGUUGUCCGGAUUUAUUGGGCGUAAAGAGCUCGUAGGCGGCUCGUUGCGUCGGCUGUGAAAAACCCGCAGCUCAACUGUGGGCUUGCAGCCGAUACGGGCGGGCUGGAGUUCGGUAGGGGAGACUGGAAUUCCUGGUGUAGCGGUGGAAUGCGCAGAUAUCAGGAGGAACACCGGUGGCGAAGGCGGGUCUCUGGGCAGUAACUGACGCUGAGGAGCGAAAAGCGUGGGGAGCGAACAGG